RNAcentral lists this long non-coding RNA (413 nucleotides) under Mytilus galloprovincialis (Mediterranean mussel). Lineage: Eukaryota; Metazoa; Mollusca; Bivalvia; Mytilida; Mytilidae. The record is from RNAcentral.
UGGGGAACAACCAACUAAAAUGAGUUAACUCGGGUCAAACUACAUUAAAUACUAAAUAUGUAGUGGAAAAAAGUUGGAAACCUGUGUCCAAACCCUAUUCUCAGAAGACUGUCUCCAGAGGUAUACUUGGACAGUAUAAAAAAACUAGAGGCUCUCAAGAGCCUGUGUCGCUCACCUGUUACUGUAGUUACUGAUGUCGGCCAUCUUGGUUGGUAGGCGGGGUCAUUAGACACUUUUUUUAAAUAGAUACCCUAGUAAUGAUUGUGGCCAAGUUUGGUUUAAUUUGGCCCAGUUUUAGAAAAGAAGAUUUUUGUAAAAGUUACAAAAAUGACGAAAAGUUGUUAAAAAUUGACUUUAAAGGGCAAUAACUCCUUUAGGGGUCCUCUGACAAUUUUGGUCAUGUUGACUUAUUU